GAGGUUUGAUUAUGACUCCAGAUUGAACGCUGGCGGGAUGCCCCACACAUACAGUCGAACGGCAGCACGGACUUCGGUCUGGUGGCAUGGUGGCGAACAGGUGAAAUGUAUCGGAACAUGCCUAGUAGCGGGGAUGUAACUACGCGAGGGCGUAGCUAAUACCGCAUACACCCUUCGGGGAAAGCGGGGAGACCUUCAGACUCACUAUUAGAGCAGCCGGUAUCGGAUUAGCUAGUUAGUGCGGGGUAACGGCUCACCAAGGCGACGAUCCGUAGCUGGUUUGAAGGGACGACCAGCCACACUGGGACUGAGAGACACGGCCCAGACUCCUACGGGAGGCAACAGUGGGGAAUUUUGGACAAUGGGGGAAACCCUGAUCCAGCCAUCCCGCGUGUGCCGGUGAAGGCCUUCAGUUUGUAAAGCACUUUUGGCAGGAGGAAAGAAACGGCGCGGGAUAAUACCCCGUGCAACUGACGGUACCUGCAGAAUAAGCACCGGCUAACUACGUGCCAGCGAGCGCAGUAAUACGUAGGGUGCAAGCGUUAAUCGGAAUUACUGGGCGUAAAGCGUGCGCAGGCGGUUCGGAAGAAGAUGUGAAAUCCCAGAGCUUAGCUUUGGAACUGCAUUUUUAACUACCGAGCUAGAGUGUCAGAGGAGGUGGAAUUCCGCGUGUAGCAGUGAAAUGCUGGAGUAUGCGGAGAACACCGAUGGCGAAGGCCAGCCUCCUGGAACAACACUGACGCUCAUGCACGAAAAGCAUUAAGGGCAAACAGGAUUGGUGCCUGUUCGUCCACGCCCUAAACGAUGUCCGUAGCUGGUAGGGCCUUCGGGCCAUGGUGGCCCCCAGCUAACGCGUGAAGUUGAUACGCCUGGGGAGAGUACGGUCGCAAAGAUUAAGAAACUCAAAGGAAUUGACGGGGACCCGCACAAGCGGUGGAUGAUGUGGAUUAAUUCCGUGCAAACGCGAAAAACCUUACCUACCCUUGACAUGUCACGGUCGAAGAUUUGUGGAGUGUCGCAGAGGACGGAACACAGGUGCUGCAUGGCUGUCGUCAGCUCGUGUCGCUGGAAUGUUGGUUAAGUCCACCAACGGCGCAACCCGCUGUCAUUGAUUACUUUGAAGACGCUGUAAUGAGACUGCCAGUGACAAACCGGAGAGGUGGGGAUGACGUCAGUCCUCUUUCAGCCCUUAUGGGUGAGGGCUUCACACGUCCAUACAAUGGUCGCGGGACAGAGGGUCGCCAACCGCAGGAACAAUCCCGAGCCGAUCGUAGUCCGGAUCACCAGUCGCAACUCGACUGCGCGUGAAGUCUGAAUCGCUUUAAAUAAUCGCGGAUCAGCAUGUCGCGGUGAAUACGUUCCCGGGUCUUGUACACCGCCCGUCACCAUGGGAGUGGGUUUUACCGAAGUAGUUAGCCUAACCGUAAGGAGGGCGAUUACAUUAGGAUUCAUGACUGGGGUA
Molecule: ribosomal RNA, 1462 nt
Filed under: uncultured Bordetella sp.
Lineage: Bacteria; Pseudomonadati; Pseudomonadota; Betaproteobacteria; Burkholderiales; Alcaligenaceae
Description: partial 16S-23S ribosomal RNA intergenic spacer
Rfam family: Bacterial small subunit ribosomal RNA
Source: RNAcentral